Long non-coding RNA from Polyodon spathula (Mississippi paddlefish), 1043 nucleotides. RefSeq lists it as uncharacterized. Lineage: Eukaryota; Metazoa; Chordata; Actinopteri; Acipenseriformes; Polyodontidae. The transcript is spliced from 3 exons. The record is from RefSeq and is a predicted model, not a curated record.
AAAAGCCUUUCGUCUCUGCCGGAUUACUCAACACAAGUACGAUAUUUCCCGGCUGCAGCAAGCUUCACAAUCCAGCACAGCACAAAUGCACUUCCUAUCUGAGGGGGAAAUCCUUGAGAAAGACGGAUAUCGGCUCCUGGCAUUCAACCAACAACAUUAGAUUUUUUUCAACUGUCUUAGAACCAAGAUGAAGCAGAAGUUAUAGGCCAGGUAGCAAAAGUGGGAAGACCCUAAUUGAGGACAAGCCCCUAGGACUCCAAACUGCAGACCGUUCCAGUGGAAGAAGAAGGAGACCUCCACUCAGGCUCUCCUAGACCUGCAAGCACUGCUUAUUUAGCAAUUAAUCUGAAACCACCUCCCAAAGGUUUAAUAAUAGGGAGCCAUCUGCAGAUGACUAGGCUCUUAUCUACUUCCAGCCCAUUUAAUUAUAUUACCAGCAAAAUGGCAAAUGGUGUUUUCUUCUUUAAAUUUGUGUUGCAGGAAAGAGCUUGAUAAUUAUGGUGCCUUUUAAAAUGUCUCACACAGCAGUUACUGACUGUUCCAGUUUAGUCUUCAUUAUUAAAAGCGCUUUUAUUUACCUGCUGCACUCAUAACAUGUCAUGUUUAUCAGCACGCAUAGUUUAUCCAUGCUGUCUGUCAUUUUAAUUGUUUUACUGACACAACAUCACAGGUCUAAAUGGAAUUAUACACAGCAGAUCAUUAAAAGGGUAAGAGAAAAGUGAAAACAUUUAAACUGUGAUGUGUUACUUAGCCUUUUAAAAAAUGGGAUCCCCCUUUUUCAAAAUGUACUAUUAUCUAGUAACAUUUACAGAACUUAACAAUUUUAUUUAUUUAUUUAUUUAAAUGUAACCCAGUGAGGUUAUGAGAUAACUGUUAGUAAAAAGAAAAUAUGACAUAUAAAUGUAAUGCAUGAUUAGCUGCACCCACAGUGGUGGAUAUCAAAAAGUCUUUAGAAAUCUAUAAAUACAGAGGAGGUCAGUCUGCAUAUUGAGGUUGUCUAGCGCAGUGGUACUCAACUCUGGCCCUCAAGGUCUAUUCCAGUU